Molecule: ribosomal RNA, 345 nt
Filed under: Triticum aestivum (bread wheat)
Lineage: Eukaryota; Viridiplantae; Streptophyta; Magnoliopsida; Poales; Poaceae
Description: partial small subunit ribosomal RNA
Source: RNAcentral
AUGCUGAUCUCAUUAUCCAACUACCAUGACCGCUGCGAGACAUUGAUGAUUUUCGGGCAUGGGUGUGGCCGUGUGGGAGAAAUCUGGUCUUUUCUCAGUGAGACCAGUGUCCGACAACUGUUAGAUAAUGAACAGAUUGAACAACAGCCGUCCAGUUUGUCACGCGGGGAAGAUGUUUGGAGUGCAGACUGUGGCAAUGACAAUGAGCCUCUGUUCCAUUCUCUGGUUAGGUCUGCACAUGCCAAGCUGUUUCCGAAUGCAGCGUUAGAAUUUUUCGAUUUAAAAGCUCCCGCGUCUGCAUCCAGGCACUUGGGCCAUGGAUAUUUUGGACUCGGCAAUGGUUAA